RNAcentral lists this ribosomal RNA (468 nucleotides) under uncultured bacterium. Its description in RNAcentral is "partial 16S ribosomal RNA". It matches the Rfam family "Bacterial small subunit ribosomal RNA", at positions 28 to 507 of the family's 1533-position model. The record is from RNAcentral.
GACGAACGCUGGCGGCGUGCUUAACACAUGCAAGUCGAACGGAAAGGCCCUGCUUUUGUGGGGUGCUCGAGUGGCGAACGGGUGAGUAACACGUGAGUAACCUGCCCUUGACUUUGGGAUAACUUCAGGAAACUGGGGCUAAUACCGGAUAGGAGCUCCUGCUGCAUGGUGGGGGUUGGAAAGUUUCGGCGGUUGGGGAUGGACUCGCGGCUUAUCAGCUUGUUGGUGGGGUAGUGGCUUACCAAGGCUUUGACGGGUAGCCGGCCUGAGAGGGUGACCGGCAAAAUUGGGACUGAGAUACGGCCCAGACUCCUACGGGAGGCAGCAGUGGGGAAUAUUGCACAAUGGGCGGAAGCCUGAUGCAGCAACGCCGCGUGCGGGAUGACGGCCUUCGGGUUGUAACCCGCUUUAGCAUGUGACGAAGCGUGAGUGACGGUAAUGGGUAAAGAAGCACCGGCUAACUACGUG